GAUGAACGCUGGCGGCGUGCCUAAUACAUGCAAGUCGAGCGAACGGACGAGAAGCUUGCUUCUCUGAUGUUAGCGGCGGACGGGUGAGUAACACGUGGAUAACCUACCUAUAAGACUGGGAUAACUUCGGGAAACCGGAGCUAAUACCGGAUAAUAUUUUGAACCGCAUGGUUCAAAAGUGAAAGACGGUCUUGCUGUCACUUAUAGAUGGAUCCGCGCUGCAUUAGCUAGUUGGUAAGGUAACGGCUUACCAAGGCAACGAUGCACAGCCGACCUGAGAGGGUGAUCGGCCACACUGGAACUGAGACACGGUCCAGACUCCUACGGGAGGCAGCAGUAGGGAAUCUUCCGCAAUGGGCGAAAGCCUGACGGAGCAACGCCGCGUGAGUGAUGAAGGUCUUCGGAUCGUAAAACUCUGUUAUUAGGGAAGAACAUAUGUGUAAGUAACUGUGCACAUCUUGACGGUACCUAAUCAGAAAGCCACGGCUAACUACGUGCCAGCAGCCGCGGUAAUACGUAGGUGGCAAGCGUUAUCCGGAAUUAUUGGGCGUAAAGCGCGCGUAGGCGGUUUUUUAAGUCUGAUGUGAAAGCCCACGGCUCAACCGUGGAGGGUCAUUGGAAACUGGAAAACUUGAGUGCAGAAGAGGAAAGUGGAAUUCCAUGUGUAGCGGUGAAAUGCGCAGAGAUAUGGAGGAACACCAGUGGCGAAGGCGACUUUCUGGUCUGUAACUGACGCUGAUGUGCGAAAGCGUGGGGAUCAAACAGGAUUAGAUACCCUGGUAGUCCACGCCGUAAACGAUGAGUGCUAAGUGUUAGGGGGUUUCCGCCCCUUAGUGCUGCAGCUAACGCAUUAAGCACUCCGCCUGGGGAGUACGACCGCAAGGUUGAAACUCAAAGGAAUUGACGGGGACCCGCACAAGCGGUGGAGCAUGUGGUUUAAUUCGAAGCAACGCGAAGAACCUUACCAAAUCUUGACAUCCUUUGACAACUCUAGAGAUAGAGCCUUCCCCUUCGGGGGACAAAGUGACAGGUGGUGCAUGGUUGUCGUCAGCUCGUGUCGUGAGAUGUUGGGUUAAGUCCCGCAACGAGCGCAACCCUUAAGCUUAGUUGCCAUCAUUAAGUUGGGCACUCUAAGUUGACUGCCGGUGACAAACCGGAGGAAGGUGGGGAUGACGUCAAAUCAUCAUGCCCCUUAUGAUUUGGGCUACACACGUGCUACAAUGGACAAUACAAAGGGCAGCGAAACCGCGAGGUCAAGCAAAUCCCAUAAAGUUGUUCUCAGUUCGGAUUGUAGUCUGCAACUCGACUACAUGAAGCUGGAAUCGCUAGUAAUCGUAGAUCAGCAUGCUACGGUAAAUACGUUCCCGGGUCU
RNAcentral lists this ribosomal RNA (1372 nucleotides) under uncultured bacterium. RNAcentral describes it as "bacterial SSU rRNA". It matches the Rfam family "Bacterial small subunit ribosomal RNA", at positions 28 to 1381 of the family's 1533-position model. The record is from RNAcentral.